This 252-nucleotide ribosomal RNA is filed under the name uncultured bacterium. Its description in RNAcentral is "partial 16S ribosomal RNA". It matches the Rfam family "Bacterial small subunit ribosomal RNA", at positions 524 to 776 of the family's 1533-position model. The record is from RNAcentral.
UACGUAGGUGGCGAGCGUUACCCGGAAUGAUUGGGCGUAAAGGGUGCGUAGGCGGCCUGCUAAGUCUGGAGUGAAAGGUACCGGCUCAACCGGUACAGGCUCUGGAAACUGGCGGGCUAGAGAGCAGGAGAGGGCGGUGGAACUCCAUGUGUAGCGGUAAAAUGCGUAGAUAUAUGGAAGAACACCAGUGGCGAAAGCGGCUCUCUGGUCUGUAACUGACGCUGAGGUUCGAAAGCGUGGGUAGCAAACAGG